UGGGGAAUCUUGCGCAAUGGGGGCAACCCUGACGCAGCGACGCCGCGUGCGGGACGAAGGCCUUCGGGUCGUAAACCGCUUUCAGCAGGGACGAGGCCGAGAGGUGACGGUACCUGCAGAAGAAGCCCCGGCUAACUACGUACCAGCAGCCGCGGUAAUACGUAGGGGGCGAGCGUUAUCCGGAUUCAUUGGGCGUAAAGCGCUCGUAGGCUGCCCGCUAGGUCCGGGGUCAAAUCCGGGGGGCUCAACCCCCGCACGCCCCGGAUACCGGCGGGCUUGAGUCGGGUAGGGGAAGGCGGAAUUCCAGGUGUAGCGGUGGAAUGCGCAGAUAUCUGGAAGAACACCGGUGGCGAAGGCGGCCUUCUGGGCCUCGACUGACGCUGAGGAGCGAAAGCUGGGGGAGCGAACAGGAUUAGAUACCC
Molecule: ribosomal RNA, 422 nt
Filed under: uncultured Coriobacteriaceae bacterium
Lineage: Bacteria; Bacillati; Actinomycetota; Coriobacteriia; Coriobacteriales; Coriobacteriaceae
Description: bacterial SSU rRNA
Rfam family: Bacterial small subunit ribosomal RNA
Source: RNAcentral